UCAGUAUUUGUAGCCCAUGUAUCUAAUGCUGUCUGGACCAAAAGACUAUGACAUGUUGCCACUGUAGCAUUUGAUUGAUUGACGCCAGCAAGCAUUUGGCCCAUGGCCGGCGCCAGAAUUAAUCAGUUGGAUGGGCCUUUGAUUUCCAUUGGCGGGCACGUUUUUUCACGGGAUCUCCUAUGUGUGCACGCCAGUGGCUGUUGGUGCCGUUUAAGAUGAGAAAGGACAGAUGUUUUUUUUUCAUGAGCAUGACCUUAUUUCUAUUACAGCAUAUCGGAUGACUGUUCCAUUGCCAGUGAACUCGGGACACACAGCUGUUUGUUUUUUUAAUGACGAAUCAUCAGAUUAUAGUUUCCUCUUUCACACCUAUGCUUGGUGAUUAUGGAGGCCGGGAAAUACUUUUCAAAUACUGAGGAACUAUAAUUCGCAAAGGAUGUUAAAAAAACAAGCUUCCUUGACUCACUGUGUGAGGUGAAGAAAAAAUGACUGUGAAACUCAGUUUAUUAGUGGCGGACGUGUGGCCUCCUGAGACCUAAUAAAACCUACAGUACAAGAUCUUCAUCAAUGCUGAGACGGACAUUGACGAGGUGACUGGGAUGAAGUUCCGCUGGAACAACCACAUCAUCAACCCCCCGCGCCCCAUGUAUGGUGCCACCAAGAUUGAGCAGCUGCGAGGGAAGGAUAGCAAAUUUUAUUUGUUCUGUGGAAAGAGGGUGCGUGAAAAUGUGCACCAGACCCUUGAUCCAUGCUGACCUAAGUGAAGCACAACCAAACAUGGUUUACAGAGAUUUACAAUAAAGUUACAGCAUUUGAACACUUUCUAUGAGUCACAGUCAUCGGUCCUUUCUACAAUUGUGUAAAGACAUCUAAACAAUAAAGCAUUGCAGCAACAUGA
Salvelinus fontinalis (brook trout) is the source of this 895-nucleotide long non-coding RNA. RefSeq lists it as uncharacterized. The transcript is spliced from 3 exons. Lineage: Eukaryota; Metazoa; Chordata; Actinopteri; Salmoniformes; Salmonidae. The record is from RefSeq and is a predicted model, not a curated record.